UUAAUUCUGCAGAAGCCAUGCUCAGCCAUUAGGUCAUAGUGUGUUAAUACCCGAAAGAAAGUUCUUGAGCAUAGAAAUGCAUCCAGAUGUCAACACAUUAAUUAUUAUUCUUGCUUCAGAGGUUCCAUGAGAAAAAGGCAGCAAGAAAAAUCAACCUUGGGCUUCGUUAAUUAAGAUUCACAUUCUUGCUGGUAUAUUUCAGGAAGACAGUUGGUAACUUUUGCCCUAUUCUCUGGAGACCCUUAUAAUGUGGUCCUAUCCAUUCAUCAGGGCUCUGUGCAGCUCUGGGGCCCAUACAGAGUGCCUUUAUACCUUCCACCCAUGCCCCAUUGGUCCAUGACAUCUUGCCCCUUGUUGCUGGCAGCAUCUGAUUAGCUGACCAGGUACGGCAGAGGCAUUGGAAGUCUCCUGGAAGCCCCAGUGUUCUGCAUUCUCAGCACUAUGGUGGAUUAUCCUGCACUGGACUUCUUCUGUCUAUGGCCUUUAUUAAACCUCACAGACCACAGCCACUGCCACUGGAGGGACAGGACAGUGACCUGUUACAAAGGAGAAGAUGGUGAUUGGAUUUGAUCCUGCACCCUGCUCUUGCUCUACUGCCCUCCACCUGUGCACCCUCUUGAACGAGUAAAGUUAACCCAGGACAAAAUGCCAUUGCCCACUGAUUCUCCUGCUGACAGGUAAAGAAGCCACAAGCCUUCAAGGGAGAAGUCCCACUUGGGUACCAACUUUGUAACUGAAAUAGGUUUGCCUCUUGAUUGUAGAAGAGGAUCAGGUCUCAUUCCCAUGACCAUUAAAAGACCUUGAAGUUCUGCUAUGGCAGUAUGUGGUGUCUUCCUAUCCUCAUGGCCGAUACAAUCCAAAAGGGCAGUGGCGUCUAACUGGGAGUUCAGAUUCCCUGU
Molecule: long non-coding RNA, 899 nt
Organism: Mus pahari (shrew mouse)
Lineage: Eukaryota; Metazoa; Chordata; Mammalia; Rodentia; Muridae
Exons: 7
Source: RefSeq, a predicted model, not a curated record